RNAcentral lists this ribosomal RNA (500 nucleotides) under uncultured bacterium. Its description in RNAcentral is "partial 16S ribosomal RNA". It matches the Rfam family "Bacterial small subunit ribosomal RNA", at positions 30 to 523 of the family's 1533-position model. The record is from RNAcentral.
AUUGAACGCUGGCGGAAUGCUUUACACAUGCAAGUCGAACGGCAGCACGGACUUCGGUCUGGUGGCGAGUGGCGAACGGGUGAGUAAUGUAUCGGAACGUGCCCCGUCGUGGGGGCUAACGUAGUGAAAAUUACGCUAAUACCGCAUACGCUCUAUGGAUGAAAGCGGGGGAUCGCAAGACCUCGCGCGAUUGGAGCGGCCGAUAUCAGAUUAGGUAGUUGGUGGGUAAAAGGCCCACCAAGCCAACGAUCUGUAGCUGGUCUGAGAGGACGACCAGCCACACUGGAACUGAGACACGGUCCAGACUCCUACGGGAGGCAGCAGUGGGGAAUUUUGGACAAUGGGCGAAAGCCUGAUCCAGCCAUUCCGCGUGCAGGAUGAAGGCCCUCGGGUUGUAAACUGCUUUUGUACAGAACGAAAAGGUUUCUACUAAUACUAGGAGCUCAUGACGGUACUGUAAGAAUAAGCACCGGCUAACUACGUGCCAGCCGCCGCCGUAA